RNAcentral lists this ribosomal RNA (261 nucleotides) under uncultured archaeon. RNAcentral describes it as "partial 16S ribosomal RNA". It matches the Rfam family "Archaeal small subunit ribosomal RNA", at positions 748 to 1008 of the family's 1478-position model. The record is from RNAcentral.
CAGCCGUAAACUAUGCGCGUUAGGUGUAUCGGUGACCACGAGUUACCGAGGUGCCGAAGGGAAACCGUGAAACGUGCCGCCUGGGAAGUACGGUCGCAAGGCUGAAACUUAAAGGAAUUGGCGGGGGGGCACCACAACAGGUGGAGCCUGCGGUUUAAUUGGACUCAACGCCGGGAAGCUCACCGGAUAGGACAGCAGAAUGAUUGCCGGGCUGAAGACCCUGCAUGACUAGCUGAGAGGUGGUGCAUGGCGUCAGUGACU